GACGGAGGGUGCGAGCGUUGUCCGGAUUUACUGGGCGUAAAGGGCGCGUAGGCGGCCUGAACAGUCGUUUGUGAAAGGCCUGGGCUCAGCCCGGGUUAUGCGGACGGGACGUUUGGGCUGGAGGGUGGUCGAGGGAGCCAGAAUGCCGGGUGUAGUGGUGAAAUGCGUAGAGAUCCGGCGGAAUACCGGUGGCGAAGGCGGACUUCUAGGCCAUUACUGACGCUGAGGCGCGAGAGCGUGGGGAGCGAACCGG
RNAcentral lists this ribosomal RNA (253 nucleotides) under uncultured bacterium. RNAcentral describes it as "partial 16S ribosomal RNA". It matches the Rfam family "Bacterial small subunit ribosomal RNA", at positions 524 to 776 of the family's 1533-position model. The record is from RNAcentral.